This 427-nucleotide ribosomal RNA is filed under the name uncultured bacterium. RNAcentral describes it as "bacterial SSU rRNA". It matches the Rfam family "Bacterial small subunit ribosomal RNA", at positions 355 to 774 of the family's 1533-position model. The record is from RNAcentral.
UAGGGAAUAUUGGACAAUGGGGGCAACCCUGACCCAGCCAUGCCGCGUGAGUGAAGAAGGCCCUCGGGUUGUAAAGCUCUUUUGUCCGGAAAGAAAAGCAUUCGGUGAAUACCCGGAUGUUCUGACGGUACCGGAAGAAUAAGCACCGGCUAACUUCGUGCCAGCAGCCGCGGUAAUACGAAGGGUGCAAGCGUUACUCGGAAUUACUGGGCGUAAAGCGUGCGUAGGUGGUUGUUUAAGUCUGCUGUGAAAUCCCCGGGCUCAACCUGGGAAUGGCAGUGGAAACUGGCGGGCUAGAGUACGGUAGAGGAUGGUGGAAUUCCCGGUGUAGCGGUGAAAUGCGUAGAGAUCGGGAGGAACACCAGUGGCGAAGGCGGCCAUCUGAACCAGUACUGACGCUGAGGCACGAAAGCGUGGGGAGCAAACA